RNAcentral lists this ribosomal RNA (1364 nucleotides) under uncultured bacterium. Its description in RNAcentral is "bacterial SSU rRNA". It matches the Rfam family "Bacterial small subunit ribosomal RNA", at positions 24 to 1386 of the family's 1533-position model. The record is from RNAcentral.
UCAGAUUGAACGCUGGCGGCAUGCUUUACACAUGCAAGUCGAACGGUAACAGGGAGCUUGCUCCGCUGACGAGUGGCGAACGGGUGAGUAAUAUAUCGGAACGUACCCAAGAGUGGGGGAUAACGUAGCGAAAGUUACGCUAAUACCGCAUACGAUCUAAGGAUGAAAGCAGGGGAUCUUCGGACCUUGUGCUCCUGGAGCGGCCGAUAUCUGAUUAGCUAGUUGGUGAGGUAAAGGCUCACCAAGGCGACGAUCAGUAGCUGGUCUGAGAGGACGACCAGCCACACUGGAACUGAGACACGGUCCAGACUCCUACGGGAGGCAGCAGUGGGGAAUUUUGGACAAUGGGCGCAAGCCUGAUCCAGCAAUGCCGCGUGAGUGAAGAAGGCCUUCGGGUUGUAAAGCUCUUUUGUCAGGGAAGAAACGGGAGUGGCUAAUAUCCAUUCCUAAUGACGGUACCUGAAGAAUAAGCACCGGCUAACUACGUGCCAGCAGCCGCGGUAAUACGUAGGGUGCAAGCGUUAAUCGGAAUUACUGGGCGUAAAGCGUGCGCAGGCGGUUUUGUAAGUCUGUCGUGAAAUCCCCGGGCUCAACCUGGGAAUUGCGAUGGAGACUGCAAGGCUAGAAUCUGGCAGAGGGGGGUAGAAUUCCACGUGUAGCAGUGAAAUGCGUAGAGAUGUGGAGGAACACCGAUGGCGAAGGCAGCCCCCUGGGUCAAGAUUGACGCUCAUGCACGAAAGCGUGGGGAGCAAACAGGAUUAGAUACCCUGGUAGUCCACGCCCUAAACGAUGUCUACUAGUUGUCGGGUUUUAAUUAACUUGGUAACGCAGCUAACGCGUGAAGUAGACCGCCUGGGGAGUACGGUCGCAAGAUUAAAACUCAAAGGAAUUGACGGGGACCCGCACAAGCGGUGGAUGAUGUGGAUUAAUUCGAUGCAACGCGAAAAACCUUACCUACCCUUGACAUGUACGGAAGCCACGAGAGAUCGAGGUGUGCUCGAAAGAGAGCCGUAACACAGGUGCUGCAUGGCUGUCGUCAGCUCGUGUCGUGAGAUGUUGGGUUAAGUCCCGCAACGAGCGCAACCCUUGUCAUUAGUUGCUACAUUCAGUUGAGCACUCUAAUGAGACUGCCGGGACAAACCGGAGGAAGGUGGGGAUGACGUCAAGUCCUCAUGGCCCUUAUGGGUAGGGCUUCACACGUCAUACAAUGGUACAUACAGAGGGCCGCCAACCCGCGAGGGGGAGCUAAUCCCAAAAAGUGUAUCGUAGUCCGGAUCGCAGUCUGCAACUCGACUGCGUGAAGUUGGAAUCGCUAGUAAUCGCGGAUCAGCAUGUCCCGGUGAAUACGUUCCCGGGUCUUGUAC